CUACGGGGUGCUGCAGUAGGGAAUUUUCGGCAAUGGGCGCAAGCCUGACCGAGCAACGCCGCGUGAGUGAUUAAGGCCUUCGGGUUGUAAAGCUCUGUUGUAAAGGAAGAACGAUCAGUAUAGGAAAUGGUACUGAUGUGACGGUACUUUACCAGAAAGCCACGGCUAACUACGUGCCAGCAGCCGCGGUAAUACGUAGGUGGCAAGCGUUAUCCGGAAUUAUUGGGCGUAAAGGGAGCGUAGGCGGUUUAUUAAGUCUAUGGUGAAAGUGCGGGGCUCAACCCCGUAUGGCCAUAGAAACUGAUAGACUAGAGUGCAGAAGAGGGUAGUGGAAUUCCAUGUGUAGCGGUAAAAUGCGUAGAUAUAUGGAGGAACACCGGUGGCGAAGGCGGCUACCUGGUCUGUUACUGACGCUGAGGCUCGAAAGCGUGGGGAGCAAAUAGGAUUAGAUACCCCGGUAGUC
RNAcentral lists this ribosomal RNA (463 nucleotides) under uncultured bacterium. Its description in RNAcentral is "partial 16S ribosomal RNA". It matches the Rfam family "Bacterial small subunit ribosomal RNA", at positions 339 to 795 of the family's 1533-position model. The record is from RNAcentral.